RNAcentral lists this transfer RNA (60 nucleotides) under Chloroflexota bacterium. Its description in RNAcentral is "Chloroflexi bacterium tRNA-Lys". It matches the Rfam family "tRNA", at positions 7 to 64 of the family's 71-position model. Rfam says of the family: Transfer RNA (tRNA) molecules are approximately 80 nucleotides in length. Their secondary structure includes four short double-helical elements and three loops (D, anti-codon, and T loops). Lineage: Bacteria; Bacillati; Chloroflexota. The record is from RNAcentral.
GUAGCUCAGUGGCUAGAGCACCCGCCUUUUAAGCGGGGUGUCGAGAGUUCGAUCCUCUCC